This 384-nucleotide long non-coding RNA is filed under the name Bos taurus (domestic cattle). RNAcentral describes it as "long non-coding RNA NONBTAT000309". Lineage: Eukaryota; Metazoa; Chordata; Mammalia; Artiodactyla; Bovidae. The record is from RNAcentral.
ACGUGAUGUAGUUUCACUGAACAAUAUUUAUAAGCAGGUUGAAGAAAAUAAUAUUUCUGGAGUCAGUACCCCAGGUGAGGUAUAAAUAAAAUUAGAAGGCUGCAUUAAUAUAUUUAUAUCACCCUAGUGAGACUGAGAUACUUUAAAUCUUAUUUUUUAUCCAGAGGACACAGAUGGUGUUGUGACAGCACAAAAUGAUGAGUGCCACACUGUUCCUCCUAAUGAUCUUCUUCUCAAUUCAUCUUGUUUUGCAGCCUUGGAUCUUUGCUGCAUGAUUGUUUUGAAAAUAGGGGGAAUCAAGUAGGGAAAGUCACAGAAGAUGCUAAAUUAUUAUUUUUUUGAUUGGUGUGUGGGUUCAGAAUGCACUAAAACAAUGUAAAUAUG